GACGAACGCUGGCGGCGUGCCUAACACAUGCAAGUCGAACGAGAGACUUCGGUCUCUAGCGGCGGACGGGUGAGUAACACGUGGGUAACCUGCCUCAUAGAGGGGGAUACCCUCCCGAAAGGGAGAUUAAUUCCGCAUAAGAAGUAGAAGUCGCAUGACUUUAGCUUUAAAGGAGUAAUCCGGUAUGAGAUGGACCCGCGGCGCAUUAGCUAGUUGGUGAGGUAACGGCUCACCAAGGCGACGAUGCGUAGCCGGCCUGAGAGGGCGAACGGCCACACUGGAACUGAGAGACGGUCCAGACUCCUACGGGAGGCAGCAGUGGGGAACAUUGCACAAUGGGGGAAACCCUGAUGCAGCAACGCCGCGUGAAGGACGAAGGCCUUCGGGUUGUAAACUUCUGUUAAUGGGGACGAUAAUGAC
RNAcentral lists this ribosomal RNA (420 nucleotides) under uncultured bacterium. RNAcentral's name for it is "bacterial SSU rRNA". It matches the Rfam family "Bacterial small subunit ribosomal RNA", at positions 28 to 455 of the family's 1533-position model. The record is from RNAcentral.